CUCCAUCUCGGAGAGUUCUUCACUGC
Molecule: non-coding RNA, 26 nt
Filed under: Mus musculus (house mouse)
Lineage: Eukaryota; Metazoa; Chordata; Mammalia; Rodentia; Muridae
Source: RNAcentral